Molecule: long non-coding RNA, 724 nt
Filed under: Chinchilla lanigera (long-tailed chinchilla)
Lineage: Eukaryota; Metazoa; Chordata; Mammalia; Rodentia; Chinchillidae
Description: lncRNA (ENSCLAG00000028749.1)
Source: RNAcentral
AUGAAGCCUACAGAAUUGAGUGGAGAAAAGUACUGGGGAAGAGGAAAUGAGUUAUACUUGAAACACUUGAUUUUUCCAGCAAGGCUCUACCUAGUGCUACGUGUUAAAAUUUUAAAUGUUCCCAAAGCAGUAUGUGUCAAAUGCUUGAUCAUCAACCUGCAGGAAUAUUGGAAGGGGCUGGAAACUACAGGAUGGAACGACACAGGAGGAACGCCACUGCUCUGGGGAAUCCCCUUGAAGGGAAUAUUGGAGCUCUGAACUCCCUUUGCUAACCGGCCACCGUGAAGUGAAUCUCUUCUCAGCGACCUGCUCCUGCCUUAGCAUUCUGUGUUAUCAGCGGCCACAGCAAGAGUGCCAGUGACUAUGGUCUGAAGCCAUAAAAUUGUGGCACAAAGUCGUUUUUCUCUCAAAAUUGGUUUAUCUCAAGUGUAUGUCCCAGACCUAGAGAGUCUUUUCAAUUUUUAUUAUUUUUAAUUUUUUAUUACCUUUUUUAUUUUUCUUACAUUUAGUGUAUAUUUUAGUAUUAUUUGACUAUUCCAAGUGUUUUCAAAUUAUUUCUAAAUCUUUUUUAUAUUGUUAGCUUAUUCCCAUUAAAGUACUGUAGCUUUUGACCUAUAUAGGGACUCUUUCUACCAUAAUAUACCAUUUGAUUUAUUCAAUUUCCCCUUUUCCUUGGUCUUGCUGUCUUUGGGUUUGAAUGACAUAUUGCUUUGUUUUCCUUUUG